Molecule: long non-coding RNA, 1833 nt
Organism: Sceloporus undulatus (fence lizard)
Lineage: Eukaryota; Metazoa; Chordata; Lepidosauria; Squamata; Phrynosomatidae
Exons: 4
Source: RefSeq, a predicted model, not a curated record
GGAGAUUUAGGCUUAGAGGGUGUAUUGGUGGUCUCUCUUCUUCCUCUCCUCCUUAUUGCUAGCUAGCAUUUGAAAAGCAGUGAAAAAUGCUGUGGAUUAUAUGUGGAGAACAUGUAUAAAAAGGUCAAGAAAAAAUACAAAUAGAAUCCAGCGAAGACAGGGAAGAAGUCAAGGAUGAAUGGCAUGAAGGAAGAGUGGAAAGAAGGAAGGAAGGGAGGAAGAGAAAUUGACUGCAUGGACAGACCCUCAACUUCAACAGCUUUUCCAGUCUGGUGACGCUGAUCCCUUCUUUGUCUGCCGGGACAGAGGCUGCACACAGCAAUUGCCAAGCAUGAUCCACAUUUCAUUCAAAUAUGCAGGAAUGUGAGCUCAAAACCUCCUUCGCUAUUGAAGCACAUCUUCUGGCAUGUUCUUUCUUGAGUACAGAGCCAAGGUCAAAAAUACAAAAGAAAUCCCCUAUUUAUCACCAGCCACAGCAUUUCCUGAUUGAAUCAGCAUAUGGAAGACGCAAGAGCAAAUUUUGGGGCAGAGGAAGAAGCAGAGACUGCAAAGAACACAGCAAAGGAUAGCAGGCAAUAAGGGCAAGGCUGGGACCAAACAAGUAUUUGGUGGAGGAUCUAAUUCCAGGGCAAUUCAUGUGACAGAAAAUGUGGUUUGCAUUCAAAAGGUCCCAGGUUCCAUCUCCAUCCACACUGCAGAAUUAAAGCAGUUUGACACCACUCUCACUGCCAUGACUCUGCUCUACAGAAUCCUGGGAUUUGUAGCACUCUGACAGACCAGGCUGAAUACCUCACCAAACUGCAUAUCCCAUUAUUCUCUAGGAUAGUGUCAUGGUAGUUAAAGUGGUGUCAAACAGCUUUAAUUCUGCAGUAUGGAUACACCCUCUGCCAUCUCGAGGUGGGCUGGACAAAGCUCAUGUCUAAAAGCUUGGAAAGCUGAUGCCAGCAAAGAAAGUGGAUAUCAUCAUCCAAUUUAGGAACUUUUGGGGGAGUGGGUACUCAUAAGGGACUAUGUGUGGGCCUCAUCAACAUUGAGGUCACUGCACACUGUUAGGUAAGGUUUAAACAUUUUCCAGUAUCUCAUCUCCCCCCGGCCACAUAAAAUCAUCCUACCUGUGUACAUGGUGGGCCUAAUCUGAUUUAUCCCAUAUUUACUUUCUUAAUGAAGGACAGAAUCAUGAACUGCACUAUCUAUAUUUAAUAUAUUGUGAUUUUUAACCUUGAAUGAGGACAGUACAAAGUUAAAUGGACCAGAGAGUUAGCAAGUCAGCUGCCGCUACCAUCAUCUCCUUUUUCUUCAUUGAGCAAGGAGAAGCAAAGUUUGGGUGGAUUUGAGAUGAUAGGAGAGGUCAAAGCCGGUCCGUUCUAUGAUGUGGACUAAAUACUAUUGGAUUGCAACAUUCUGCACUUCUCAUCACUAGCUAUGCUGGCUUGGGCAAUGGGAACUGCAGCCCUACAACAUCUGGAGCAGACAUUGGAAGUAAUGAGUUACACAAAUGGAGUUAUUGCAAAUAUGUGCAAUGAGAGCAUAGUGAAGUUACUUUUCAACAGUAAUUAAUUGACUAACAAUACAUGUUACUUCUAAACAGUAAUUAUACACUUGGUAUAACAAGUAUUUUCUAGUUACUUCCAGAAAUUAUUUUUAAGGGCCUUUUAAGGCAUUCUAGAGGCAUUUUGACAGAUAUUUUGAAUGGUUUAUGCGUUUUUUUCAGUUCACUCAAUCAAUUCUAAUUUAACUUUAAUAGAAAAUAACAACACAUCAACAAGCAGUUCCACAAAUAAUAUACUGAGUUAAUUUCUCCACCAUUAUAUUGAACAACAGUGCAUUACUUCC